This 2682-nucleotide long non-coding RNA is filed under the name Salmo salar (Atlantic salmon). RNAcentral's name for it is "lncRNA (ENSSSAG00000091481.1, ENSSSAG00000109506.1)". The record is from RNAcentral. Lineage: Eukaryota; Metazoa; Chordata; Actinopteri; Salmoniformes; Salmonidae.
CCGCAUCCUCAAUCUUUCCACAGCUUCAAUGUUCUCCUUGCUUUCAUUGAAGGAAAAAAAAGUACUAUUUCAUUCAUGCCAUUUCCGUUCAUUCAUCAGCGCGCAGGCCAGCAUACCCUCCGAGUUCCAUCUCCUCUUAUCAAUGGAGCUGACGUCAGUCGCGCCGCAUCACGAGGUCAGGGGAGGGGGGGAUAUAAAGGAAAGUUGCGCUGACCGUGGUGCUGAAAACUCUCCUCACGACGCAAAGAUGCUACAACUAUAAAGUGUUUUGGUUUUUUUGUUGGGUUUUUUUUGGGACACUUUGUUCGUUGAGAAACAAAAAAACAUCACAAAACUGUUAACUCCCCCCCAAAAAAAUAAAAAUAACUAAUAUCACACGUCCAGAUAGUUGAUAGUCCAGUCGCCCGAGAGAAGAGGUUGAAGAAGUUGAAACUGUUUAUUAAUCAUUUAUGAAGUGUAGACUGAGAGACUAGCAGAGGCACAAGGUACAGCACUUCAUCCCUCGCAGGAAUACAGGUGCUCGGACCCCCCCUCCUGCCCGUUCUGCAUGGUCAUGACCAAUCACUACGCACCCUCCACAGCCCGACUCGUCCUAUUGGUCCUGCUCACUGUCACUCCACGGCUGACCGCCACCCCUGUGGGUGGGGAUGGGCAGGGGGAGGGGCACUCUAGGACUCACCUUAAAGAGGACAGCCCCAGCCCCCUCCGCUACCCCUUGGACCAGACCCAGGACCAGAUAGAGGACCAGGUACAGAGCCAGGAACAGAGCUAUGGUGGUCCCACAAACAUGGACCCUGCCCGGGCUCUAGCCGCUAUGCUACUGGAGGCCCUGGACCACACUGGGAGAGGACAGACAAAGGAGAGAGGAGAGGGGGACCCAGUCCCUUUGGAGGAGAGGAGGGAUGAGGAGACAAGGAGAGAGGUUGGGAGAGAGGAGGAGGAGGAGGAGGAGGAGAGGAGGGAUGAAGAGACAAGGAGAGAGGGUGGGGGAGAGAAGGAUGGAACGGCUAGGACCAGCACUAGUGGCAGUAGCUCUGGGAGAGGAGUUAAGAGAGAUAGAGGAAGAGGAGGAGAGGGAGGAGAGGAAGAGGUCGGAGGACAGAGGCUGGCUUCUAGAGGUAGAGGGGGACAGAGCUGGUGGUGGGAGUGAGGAGGGAGGACAGCAGAAGGAAGAGGAGGAGGAGGAGGAAGAAGGAGAAGCAGGGAGAUGGGGAAGUGAGAAGGAGAAAAGAGCAGAGGGUAGUAGGACAGGAGAAGAGGGGAGGCCUAUUGACCUCCAGCGGAAGGCUCGGGGCUACUUCCAGAACAUAGACCUCGGUCUCCAAGACAACGAGAUUCUUCCCCCUCUGAAGGGGUAUAAGGCCUACAACACCCAGCUGGCACAAGCUGGGAAAAAGUUGCACUGGGAGGAAGAGCGGGCACGCAACACACCCUUGGGGGGCAACUUCAUGGACGACUUUGAGAACGAAGCAGAGGAGGAGGAGGAGGCGGCUCUGUCGAUGGUGGAAGAGGAAGAGGCUCGGGCGCGUGCAGAGCAGCAGGAGGUGCAACGGCAGCAGGAGGAGGCAGAGCGGGCUAGAGAGGAGGAGCAGAGGCUGGCGGACAUCGCCUCGGACAUGUUGCUUCAGUACAUGGGGAGACAGAAGCAGCAGCGGGCGCCCUACCUCACGGCCAGACAGAAGGCCGGCGCCAACGCCGCUGAAGACAAGCGCUCCGAGGAGGUGGUAACCGACGGCGACGACCUGGACCAGCAGAUGAUCGACAGGCUGAUCGAAAUCAGCAGCAAGCUGCACCUGCCGGCCGACGACGUGGUCCAGAUCAUCUCCAACGUAGAGGAGAAGAAGAAGAAGAGGAAGGAGCUGACGUCGCUUAGCAACCCGGUCGCCCCGCGUUACCGACCCUUAGUUCCCCCUCCUCUAGUGACGGGCCCCAUGUACCACUACACAGCCUCCUCUAACCCCAAGAAGGACCCUUACCCUUACCAGCCCUACAAGAACAAGUGGAACAAUGACAGAGCCAAGGCUAAGGCCUACAAGCAGGACGUCUGGUUCAAACCCCAGAAACAGUUCCUAGCCUUCCCGUCCUACCCCUACUAUCAGAAACCCUACCGAGCAUACUACCCUGUGUUCUUCCCCUACCCCAAACCCCAGUACUACGACAAUACUCCCAUGGGGGAGGAGCUACCCCACAGCCCGCCCUCGGACUAUGAGCUUCGACCUACCAGGCGCAGACACAGGGCCGGGGGAAGGGCCAGAGGUGGAAGUAGGCAUGGCUGGAGACAGCAGCCCCUCCCACCCCGUCUUCCUUCCUCUCCUUACAUCUCCAAUUACAUCCUGCCACACCCACGGACAUAUCAGCCCCUGCCUAAACCCCUCUCCCCCCAGAACAGGGGCAGGCAUCCCCAGUACUACUACCCACCAGGGCCUGGGGGCUUGGGUGUAGCUGGGGGGAGGGCAGGAGAGGACUAUGAAGACGACCAUGGGCUGGUUCCACAGCUGGACAGUCAAGAGGAAUUGGAGAACUUUAUAUCGAAAAUAUACAUGAAACGCAGAAUGUACUAGAGACAGAAGGACAGACAGACACUACCGUAGGACAAAAGGGACCAAACAGGGGGAGGGUAGAGAGUAAAUAGGCUAGAUGAGAGAGAGAGAGAGAGAGAGAGAGAGAGAGAGAGAGAGAGAG